CAGCAGCCGCGGUAAUACGUAGGGUGCAAGCGUUAAUCGGAAUUACUGGGCGUAAAGCGUGCGCAGGCGGUGUUGUAAGACAGAUGUGAAAUCCCCGGGCUCAACCUGGGAACUGCAUUUGUGACUGUAUAGCUAGAGUACGGCAGAGGGGGAUGGAAUUCCGCGUGUAGCAGUGAAAUGCGUAGAUAUGCGGAGGAACACCGAUGGCGAAGGCAAUCCCCUGGGCCUGUACUGACGCUCAUGCACGAAAGCGUGGGGAGCAAACAGGAUUAGAUACCCGUGUAGUCCCUGUCUCUUAUAC
Molecule: ribosomal RNA, 301 nt
Filed under: uncultured bacterium
Lineage: Bacteria
Description: partial 16S ribosomal RNA
Rfam family: Bacterial small subunit ribosomal RNA
Source: RNAcentral